CUUCAAAAAUCCCUUGAUUGAAAAGAAAGUUUCCUUUUGAUCCAUCUAUUCAGAAACAGUGAACGAUGCUGGUUGCUGUGGAAAUGAUUAUGAUGUCAGAGAGGAUGGUGACUUCUCGUAAGGGACAAGCAGAAAGAACAGAUGUGCUCAUAAGAAACAAAGAUCUUGUUUCCAUACAAACGUUCUCAGCAAUAAAGCACAAAAGAGGGAAAAUAUCGACUGCCCAGAAGACGAGAAAAAAAAGCUUCUAAAUAGAGUAUUUACAAAGUUCUUCAUCAAAUCCUCAGCUGCUCCUCAAAGCAGCUCUAACUUGGACAGUGGACAUGAAUUCCUUCAAUCUCGGGCCUUUCACUGUUGAGAAUCUUCUUUUGGACAUGUGCCAGCUUGCCAGUAUCUUUCCUAAAUGUGGAAAGCAAAACUGAACACAAUAAUCCAGACAUUGCUCCUCAAAACAGGACUUAGCAGAUAUACAUAAGGAUGACCAAGAAGAUGACAGCCCAUUGUUUCUCACUGGAAUAAAUUUUUAAUGGGUCACUUUUAAGAUGAUAGUAAUAAUGAUCUGAAUAAGUAAAUCAAACAAGUAAUUUCUUUUAAAUGAUUGGGUCAGUAUUGACUUGACCAGCUUGUUCUCUUGAGAGGAAAAAUUACUUACAGCAAUGGUUAUCCACAUUUGUGAUCUACAUCUAGCACAAUAAAUAAAUUCAGAAAAUGUCUAAAGAUUUA
This is a non-coding RNA of Phascolarctos cinereus (koala), 723 nucleotides long. The record is from RefSeq and is a predicted model, not a curated record. Lineage: Eukaryota; Metazoa; Chordata; Mammalia; Diprotodontia; Phascolarctidae.